This is a non-coding RNA of Danio rerio (zebrafish), 2099 nucleotides long. The record is from RefSeq and is a predicted model, not a curated record. Lineage: Eukaryota; Metazoa; Chordata; Actinopteri; Cypriniformes; Danionidae.
UCUCGCACAAUAUAAAGACUGGCGACUGCAGGACGGAUUUAUUGACAAACGCUCCUCUGAGGAAUAAACUGGAUUAAAAAUACGCGUAAAUUGGACUGUUUGCUGUCACCAACGAUGGGAAUUCAGACUGUAAUAUGUUCGGCACUUUUCCUUGCUUUUCUUGCUCUUGUAAACGGAUCUCCAGCAUCAAUGGAUGUGGGCAAACUUACCAAAGCAACAAAUGUUUCAUGGACAUCUUACAAUUUCAAAACAAUCCUGUCUUGGGGACCCAAACCUGUCAACUACACAUAUACAGUUGAAUUCUCAAGAACAAAUCGUGACAAACAGAGAAACCCUCACUGCAUUAGAAGCACAGAGACAGAGUGCGACUUGACCAAUGAUUUGGACAUAAAUGAGGUUUAUUCGGCCGAGGUGCUCUCAGAGCCCCUGCCCAGCAUGAAUAUCGACCAAGUGGAGCCUCCAUAUAGCAGAUCAAAGAUCUUCCGCCCUUAUGAUGACACUUUAAUAGGAAGACCUCAGUUCACACUGACGGUGAGCAUAGACAAGAAGCUUGUGCUGACCAUCCAAGACCCCAUCACGGCUCUGCACAAAGACAACAGAUCUUUGAACAUCCGUGACAUCUUUAAGAAAAAUCUUAAGUACAAAGUUGCCUACAGCAAAGCUGGAAGCACAGGAAAAGUAAAAAAUCAAAGUAGUCGAGGAAAGCCGAGCGGAGUUUAACCGACUGGAUGAGGAUCAGAGUUACUGCUUCAGUGUAGCGGCUUACAUUCCUAACCGGAAAGGAGACAAGAGGCUCGGAGAGUGGAGCCUUCCCAAAUGUUCACCGCAGGAAAGUAAAAGUCUGUUUGAAGAGUAUGGACUGGCUGUGAUUGGUGGAGCAGCGCUCGCAACCCUGGCUUUUGUGAUUGCUGUAAUCGUUCUGAUUGUGGUGUGCUGUAAACGAGCACAAAAACAAACGCCCACAGCCAAGGAAACCAUAGUCUGAGCUCAGAGAUGGAGAAAUGCCUGCUGGUGGAGUGGAGAAUGGGACACACAGCUGGACUGUGAGCAAGACCCAAUCCAGUGCUGUACUGCAGCUGACCUGGUUUCUGUGAAACAUUAACACUACGUGAUAUGUUAUACAUAUCAGCCAUUGUUUUUUUAUGAGUGAGCAGAACAGCCUAUUUAAUAAACAGACUUAUUUAUUAGAUUUUUUAGAAAUACAUGGAUAUAUGCGGCUUUUGUGUUUGUAUGAAUAGUUUUAUAUCGAGAGAGAUAAUUUAUGAAAUGUAUAUAUUUUUAAAACAUAAAUCAUACUCUUUGGAGCUUCACUACAUGAGUCAAAUAAAUAUUAAACCUUUCAUGACUUGUGUUUUUUAACUGCCUGCUCUACCAAAUGGUUGACCGUAUUUUGACUGUUUUGUAUAAUGUCUGUUAAAGUCAUUUAAAGAAUUACUGUUUUAAAUAAUGGUUUACACACAGCACUGUUGGUUUACAAAAAAAAUCAAACAGGUUUGUUGCACUACUUCACUUGAUUUUGGUUUUAUUGUUAAAAAAAAAUGUUAAAUAAGAAUCUGAAAUAUUUGAUGGCAUACUUCAAAAAAUAUCACACAUCAUAUUUUCAGAUUUUUCAUGGUAUACAGAUGUAUUAAUCUAUGUACUUUCACUAUAAUCUGACAUAUCAACCAUUUGGUAGAGGUUAAUAUUUUAGAAAUUAUGUGAUGGUUGAAAAAAAAUUGCACUGAGUGUGUAAAUUACUAGCGACAUCAGGAGAAUUGUUCUUGGUGGGGCAGUUUAAAGGGUUAAUGAGCAUUAUCGGCUAUGUAAUGACAAUUGUAAAGGGAAUUGCACAAUCAAAAACAAGAGGGAAUGUGUAUUUUCAGGCCAGCAGUUCUUUCUGGUAUUUUUGUUCAUGAAAAAAUCCCUAAUAACUAUGAAAUAUUGCUGAAGUUGUGUAACACUAUCUGACAAUUAAAAACACAGAGAGAGAGACUCGCUGGCCAAGACCAACUUAGUCUCAGUAGCUCACCCUUGUGGUUAGCAGCAGUACAGAUGUAAGUCUUGUAUACAAUUUAGUGUCUUUCUGGAUGAAGCACGGAAUAAACUGAAAUGUAAACAAA